CUCCGCUGCCUCUGCCAGGGCUGGCGCUGUCUUGGCAACUGCCUUGGCGCAGCGCGAGCCUGGGUCCCCCGCACUUCCCGCAGCGGCGGCAGCGGCAGCAGGGAGCGGCGGCCAGCGGUGGCGGGCUCCAGGGAGAGCGGCGGGCGCCCCGGCAGAGGCGGCGCUUCCAGCUCGGCCCCUGGGCUCUGGUGACCCGCCCUCGAGUCCUGCCCCGCGUCGGAGCGGCCGUCGGUCCCGGGACUGACCCGGCCUCGCUGCCUCUUCCCUCCCCGCCCCGCCUCAACCCGCAUCCCUCCGGAGCCCCGAUUCGCUUGCGCCCAACUCCUCGGCGGGGUGGCGGCGGCCGGGCCCCCACGGCGUCGGUCGGAGCAGUCGCAGCCCCGGAACACGCCUCUAUGAUGAAGUUCAAGCCCAACCAGAUGCGGACCUACGACCGUGAGGGCUUCAAGAAGCGGGCGGCGUGCUGUGCUUCCAGAGCGAGCAGGAGGACGCGGUGCUGCUGGUGAGUAGCAGUCGGUACCCCGACCAGCGGAUUGUCCCAGGAGGAGGGAUGGAGCCAGAGGAGGAGCCUGGAGGUGCUGCUGUGAGGGAAGUUUAUGAGGAGGCUGGAGUCAAAGGAAAAUUAGGCAGACUCCUGGGCAUAUUUGAGCAGAACCAAGACGGAAAGCACAGAACAUAUGUUUAUGUUCUUACAGUCACCGAAAUAUGAGAAGACUGGGAAGAUUCUGUUAAUAUAGGAAGGAAGAGAGAGUGGUUCAAAGUAGAAGAUGUAAUCAAAGUUCUACAGUGUCAUAGACCCGUACAUGCAGAGCAUCUGGAAAAACGAAAGCUUGGCUGUUCCCCAACCAAUGGAAACUCUACAGUCCCUUCCCUUCUAGGUAAUAAGGCCUUGCUUGUGACUGCUGCACAGACUUCUGGGGUGCCACCCGGUAUAAGAUAGGAAGAAUUUGGAGGCCUUCUCUACCACAUGUGAUCUCAUGGGGAGAGGCUCCUUCACUUUCUUUGGAAAACAUCUGAAUGACGCAAACUGAAUUUGCCAUGCAGGGAUUUCAAACAGUUUUGCAUGUAUUUCAGAUGCUUUCAAGUCUUUUAAAACAGAAUAGUGUAAAAAUAUUUUAAGAACCCAAAGCCAUGUGGGACUUUUUUUUUUUUUAAGAUGCCUUAACUGUGCCCCACCCGUUAUUUUGGUGGCUGUUUUUCACAGAAUUUUUUCAGUUUUGUCAUUGACAUCAGUCUGGUUUGUCAGAUCAAUUUGCUUAUAGGUAUAUUUUCCCCCUAAAUUGUUGCCUCCGCUGCACUGACAUAAAGAAACAUCCAUCCCCAAACUUCAUAAGAUCACAUUCUUAAUUCCUAAAUUUAAGGCUUGAGAUUUUUCUGUAUAGUCCAAUAACUGAAAAAGGAUUUUUGAUUUGCUGUUUUCAGG
This is an RNA transcript of Dipodomys ordii (Ord's kangaroo rat), 1423 nucleotides long. It is a transcript of the gene named diphosphoinositol polyphosphate phosphohydrolase 2 pseudogene, with no coding region annotated. The transcript has a single exon. The record is from RefSeq and is a predicted model, not a curated record. Lineage: Eukaryota; Metazoa; Chordata; Mammalia; Rodentia; Heteromyidae.